AUUGAACGCUGGCGGCAGGCCUAACACAUGCAAGUCGAGCGGAUGAAGGGAGCUUGCUCCUGGAUUCAGCGGCGGACGGGUGAGUAAUGCCUAGGAAUCUGCCUGUUAGUGGGGGAUAACGUCCGGAAACGGGCGCUAAUACCGCUUACGUCCUGAGGGAGAAAGUGGGGGAUCUUCGGACCUCACGCUCUCAGAUGAGCCUAGGUCGGAUUAGCUAGUUGGUGGGGUAAAGGCCUACCAAGGCGACGAUCCGUAACUGGUCUGAGAGGAUGAUCAGUCACACUGGAACUGAGACACGGUCCAGACUCCUACGGGAGGCAGCAGUGGGGAAUAUUGGACAAUGGGCGAAAGCCUGAUCCAGCCAUGCCGCGUGUGUGAAGAAGGUCUUCGGAUUGUAAAGCACUUUAAGUUGGGAGGAAGGGCAGUAAGUUAAUACCUUGCUGGUUUGACGUUACCAACAGAAUAAGCACCGGCUAACUUCGUG
Molecule: ribosomal RNA, 484 nt
Filed under: uncultured bacterium
Lineage: Bacteria
Description: partial 16S ribosomal RNA
Rfam family: Bacterial small subunit ribosomal RNA
Source: RNAcentral